UCGUGCCAACGUCAGAGCUGUGUAGCUAUGUUGUGGACGGGAUAAGUGCUGAAAGCAUCUAAGCAUGAAGCCCCCCUCAAGAUGAGAUUUCCCAACUUCGGUUAUAAGAUCCCUCGAAGAUGACGAGGUUAAUAGGUUCGAGGUGGAAGCGUGGUGACACGUGGAGCUGACGAAUACUAAUCGAUCGAAGACUUAAUCAAUUUUUAAA
Molecule: ribosomal RNA, 208 nt
Filed under: Staphylococcus epidermidis
Lineage: Bacteria; Bacillati; Bacillota; Bacilli; Caryophanales; Staphylococcaceae
Description: partial 23S ribosomal RNA
Rfam family: Bacterial large subunit ribosomal RNA
Source: RNAcentral